GCUUCUAAUAAGCCGAGCGCGAGGGAAGGCGAAAGGGUUGCUUUUAGGAUGAGUCACCGCGCGUGUGGCGCCUUCAUCAUCCCUCCGUCCGGUCCUGCCAACUCAGGUCGCAAGCAGCCGAGAUGGACGUCUCUGGCGGCAAAAGAAGCGGGACUUGGCUUUUUUCUUUGCAGGGUUGGGAUCCGCCUGCUGCAACCCAGCAACCCCUCAAACAGAACUGGAGAGAUGGAAGUUUGACGGAAAAUAGAAGUACUGGUUGUGCAUAGGUAUAUAUGCGACACUCGAUUUCUCAUCGUUGAUAUACUGGCCGCGAAUAAGUGAACUGACUCCGUUUCAAAGCUUUGCGUCAGUCACAUUGGUAAUCAAGGGAUGAACACAUCUAUACGAAUUAGUCCUUUGAGCGAGCAUGUCAAGAGGAUGGAUCCUGGCACAUCACGAUGUUAUUUUUUCCUACACCUGUAAGAGAGUAUAUCUUGUUUUUUAGGCAAACAAGCCUACCCAGACAUGUAACUUUAUUUUGGACAUUUAUGUUAAAACUGCUGUUUUUAUCUGUAUUGUGCUAAAUGUUAUGUCUGUUUCCUUUUAAAGUUUGCUUUUAUCAGUACUUUAAUAUAUAUUUUAUAUUGUUUUAUGUAAUCUGCUUAGAGGUUUUUGUUGAAAAAGCAGGAUAUAAAUCUUGUUAAAUUGGACCCCAUGUGUACCAGUUUGAUUAUUUGCACUACAAAUCAUAAAUUGCAAUGGUGGGAGGAAUGGAAGAUAACCCUUUUG
This is a non-coding RNA of Podarcis lilfordi (Lilford's wall lizard), 768 nucleotides long. The record is from the annotation of a GenBank genome assembly. Lineage: Eukaryota; Metazoa; Chordata; Lepidosauria; Squamata; Lacertidae.